This 271-nucleotide ribosomal RNA is filed under the name uncultured archaeon. RNAcentral's name for it is "partial 16S ribosomal RNA". It matches the Rfam family "Archaeal small subunit ribosomal RNA", at positions 477 to 747 of the family's 1478-position model. The record is from RNAcentral.
CGGCAGCCCGAGUGGUGAUCACUAUUAUUGGGUCUAAAGGGUCCGUAGCCGGUUUGAUCAGUCUUUUGGGAAAUCUGACAGCUUAACUGUUAGGCUUCCAAAGGAUACUGUCAGACUUGGGACCGGGAGAGGUAAGAGGUACUACAGGGGUAGGAGUGAAAUCUUGUAAUCCCUGUGUGACCACCAGUGGCGAAGGCGUCUUACCAGAACGGGUCCGACGUUGAGGGACGAAAGCUGGGGGCACGAACCGGAUUAGAUACCCGAGUAGUCC